Molecule: ribosomal RNA, 524 nt
Filed under: Dicranopselaphus sp. UPOL RK0699
Lineage: Eukaryota; Metazoa; Arthropoda; Insecta; Coleoptera; Psephenidae
Description: partial 16S ribosomal RNA
Rfam family: Bacterial large subunit ribosomal RNA
Source: RNAcentral
CAUGUCCUUUUGAUAAUUGAUUUAAGGUCUAGUCUGCCCACUGAAAAAUUUGAAGGGCCGCGGUAUUUUGACCGUGCGAAGGUAGCAUAAUCAUUAGUUUUUUUAUUGGAAACUGGAAUGAAUGGCUGGACGAGAGAAUGACUGUCUCUGAUUUAAUUUUUUAAAAUUUUAUUUUUGAGUUAAAAAGCUUAGAUUUUUAUAAAAGACGAGAAGACCCUAUAGAGUUUUAUAUAAUUAUUUUAAUUUUUUAUGAAGAAUUUUAUUUUGUUUAAUUAUUUUUUAUUUUAUUGGGGUGAUAGAAAGAUUAGGUUAACUCUUUUUUUAUUUUUACAUUAAUAUAUGAUUUUAUGAUCCAUUUUUUGAUUAAAAGAUUAAAUUACCUUAGGGAUAACAGCGUAAUUUUUUUAUAUAGUUCUUAUUGACAGAAGAGAUUGCGACCUCGAUGUUGGAUUAAAGUUAAAUUUUGGUGUAGAAGCUGAAAAUUUUAAGUCUGUUCGACUUUUAAAACUUUACAUGAUCUGAGU